UUUUGGACAAUGGGCGAAAGCCUGAUCCAGCCAUGCCGCGUGCAGGAUGAAGGCCUUCGGGUUGUAAACUGCUUUUGUACGGAACGAAAAGACUCCUUCUAAUAAAGGGGGUCCAUGACGGUACCGUAAGAAUAAGCACCGGCUAACUACGUGCCAGCAGCCGCGGUAAUACGUAGGGUGCAAGCGUUAAUCGGAAUUACUGGGCGUAAAGCGUGCGCAGGAGGUUAUAUAAGACAGAUGUGAAAUCCCCGGGCUCAACCUGGGAACUGCAUUUGUGACUGUAUAGCUAGAGUACGGCAGAGGGGGAUGGAAUUCCGCGUGUAGCAGUGAAAUGCGUAGAUAUGCGGAGGAACACCGAUGGCGAAGGCAAUCCCCUGGGCCUGUACUGACGCUCAUGCACGAAAGCGUGGGGAGCAAACAGG
Molecule: ribosomal RNA, 422 nt
Filed under: uncultured bacterium
Lineage: Bacteria
Description: bacterial SSU rRNA
Rfam family: Bacterial small subunit ribosomal RNA
Source: RNAcentral